UGCACAGUACACGCCUGUGUAUUUGCAUACGUCGGGGCCAACCCAGUUUGUGGUGAUAUUGUUUGGGUCGGAGUAGAUGACUUUUUUGAAAGCCUGGAGAGCUGUGUAAGCUUGUUGGAGCUUUGGGUUUGGAGACAGUGAACGGUGGUGGUGAUGGUGGUGGUGGUGGUGGUGAGUAGCGGCGGAGGAGGAAGAGAGGUGGAGUAGAAAGAGGAGCAAGGUAUGGGAAAUGACGAAUGAACAAUACAAAGUUGAA
This 256-nucleotide long non-coding RNA is filed under the name Gossypium barbadense (sea-island cotton). Its description in RNAcentral is "long non-coding RNA (GBAR_LNC000029)". Lineage: Eukaryota; Viridiplantae; Streptophyta; Magnoliopsida; Malvales; Malvaceae. The record is from RNAcentral.